AUCUUUUUAGUAUAAACUUAUUACAAGCGGCCUCCACCCACUCGAUCUUGGUUAAAAUCCAAGGAAAGAUA
This 71-nucleotide transfer RNA is filed under the name Rasbora semilineata. RNAcentral's name for it is "tRNA-Gly". Lineage: Eukaryota; Metazoa; Chordata; Actinopteri; Cypriniformes; Danionidae. The record is from RNAcentral.